ACUCCCUGUUUUGCGAAUCCGUUGAAUAUGUCCAUUUGGAGUGGUCAAUUUGAAAUGUUUUUUUGGUUGUUAAAAUGGAUCGGUAAUAAGUUCGGGGAGGACUCUAUUAAUAUUGUAAAGGAAAUUAUUUUAGGAAGGCCUAAAGAAAAGACGGCAUUGCAUUGGACAUUUUUUCCGACGGCCAAUGCACUUCUUAACGAUGUGAGCCCGUUAAAAUUUUUUUUGAACUGGCUAAAUUUAAACCUGGUGCCUAGGUUUCCAGGAAUUUUGGAUGCCAUUUUGCUGAAACGCGGUGAAAACGAAGAAACUGUUUUGCACUUUGGAAUUGAGAUGGGCAACUGGGACCUGAUUGAAUAUUUUCUAGAGUGGAUCAAAUCACGUUACGAUGAUCCUGAGCUGCUUAACAAGUUGGUGUUGAUGACUACUCCGAGAGGCACCGUAUUUUUCGAAGCGGUGUUCUGGAACCACGGUGAAUUGCUUCAAAAGGUUUUUAAUUGGAUGAAAAACAACCUUCAUCCCAAUGUGUUGAAAACCUUGGUGUUGAUAACACAUGAUGGAAAAACUAUUCUUGAUGUCAUGGUUGAUAAAUCUAGUGAUUCCUACACUCAUAUAAUAACUGAUGUUAAGCAAAUGUGUGAUCAAUUCUUGAUUGACGUGGAAAAGGCAAGUGUACAUGGUCUCCAAUUUUCCGAAGAAGAAGCUCUCAGUUUGAAAGAGUAUCGUCACAGAUAUCACAGCAACGAAAUCCUAUAAAAUUUGAAAAAUGCCGAUCUUGGUAUUUUCGGGAACCUGCAUGUUUGUGGAACCAACGUUAACGAAAAUAAAAGCUCCCUUAGUUUUGGUUAAGUGGCUGUUUCCGUUUGUGGACGGAGGUUGUGACACCAAGGCAAAAACCGAUGGCACUAACCAAAAUAACUGGUUUCUGUAUGCGACUACAUAGAUUUACAGGAAAGACGGGAAUUUAGCAGCCAUUUUUUCUCCCACUUUGAUAAAAUAUUUAUUGAAGAUAUUAGCCACUUAAGUCGGCUUUUAUUGUCAUUUGUAACUUCAAUAAUUAGUUCAUACAUUUUCAUAUUAUUUUUAAUAUUUUCGUUUACUUUUUCCAUAUAAAAAUAGGUAAUGCAAGUGUGGGAUUUUUAUUAGGUUUUUUUUUUCAUUUCGUCUCUAGUUUUUAUAUAAUUUACUAUUCCAUUUGUAAUAUAUGGUUUUAUCUCACGGUAGUGCUGCUAUUCCAGGGUCAUAAAUAUCUAGAAUAUCAUUUAGUUCAUAUUAUAAGCUAACCUACUAAAUUUGUUAAAGUUAACUCUAU
Molecule: long non-coding RNA, 1309 nt
Organism: Cylas formicarius (sweet potato weevil)
Lineage: Eukaryota; Metazoa; Arthropoda; Insecta; Coleoptera; Brentidae
Exons: 3
Source: RefSeq, a predicted model, not a curated record